Molecule: ribosomal RNA, 374 nt
Filed under: Pomacea canaliculata
Lineage: Eukaryota; Metazoa; Mollusca; Gastropoda; Architaenioglossa; Ampullariidae
Description: partial 16S rRNA
Rfam family: Archaeal large subunit ribosomal RNA
Source: RNAcentral
UCAUUUGCCUUAUAAUUGAAGGCUAGUAUGAAAGGUUUGACGAAAGUUAAGCUGUCUUUUUUUGUGUAAAAUGAAAUUAACUUAUAAGUGCAAAGGCUUAUAUAUAACUAAAAGACAAGAAGACCCUAUUGAGCUUAUAAAAAUAUUAUAGAGUAAAGUAUAUAUAAAAAUUCUAAUCUUUUUAAAUUUUUAGUUGGGGCGACUUAGGAAUCAAAAAAACUUCCUAGUACUAAAAUUACUUUUAUGUUUUAUCCAAAAUUUUUUGAUUAUCAGAAUUAGUUACCAUAGGGAUAACAGCAUAAUCUUUCUUAGGAGUUCUAAUCGAAAGAAAGGAUUGUGACCUCGAUGUUGGACUAGAAUAUCCUAAAGGUGCA